Molecule: long non-coding RNA, 1024 nt
Organism: Aphis gossypii (cotton aphid)
Lineage: Eukaryota; Metazoa; Arthropoda; Insecta; Hemiptera; Aphididae
Exons: 3
Source: RefSeq, a predicted model, not a curated record
UGAAUUGAAGGAAUCUUUUUCAAUAGCUUAUCUUUACAAAAUUGUAAAAGAUAUAAUACUUCCAAGGAAUAUGUGGGGACUGCAUUUGAUUCCAUUAAAAAAACAACAUUUGUUCACAUAAAUGAUCCAUUAAAAACUGAUAAAACUGUAGUUUUUACUGAUUCAUGUUUACCAAGUGUAGUCAUUAUUGAUAAACAAAUUGAAGUUAAUAAAAUAAAAAGUGAAAACGAUUUGCAACUAUUACUUCAAAAUCUAUAUAUCUUUAAAAUAUGUAAAAGAGUUAAUAAUUGUCGCCAAUCAAAAUUGUGUGUUCGUUUCUUUGAUCCUUCAUUAACUUCUCCGAGAAUUGUAAGAUGUUUUAACCGUGCAUCAGAAAGAAGAAAACUGCAAAAAGUAAAAUCCAUAAAUUUAACACCAGCUAAACAACUUCAACGACUAACAAGAAGGUUAAAAACUAAACAUCAACAAAAAACUAGACUUAACAAUAAUUUGGUUACAUUGAAGCAGAAAUUAUGGACAAUGCAAAGAGAGUGCAGCCUUGUUUCUAAGGAUAUGUUGAAUGAUUGCAUACUGGAUUUGCUAAUAGAGCAAUAAGAAAUGGUUAAAACAAUUUUUAAUGCAGCAAAAUGUAAAAGCUCUAAAGGAAGAAGAUAUAGUCUAGAAUGGGUAUAUGAAUGCUUGUUAAUGCAUAUCAAGGGACCAAAAUUAUACAGAAAAAUGAGAAAAUAAAAUAAAUAGCCCUUGCCAUCAGAAAAAACACUUGGAAGAUAUAUCAAAAAUUGCACCCUGCUUAUGGAUUCCAAGAAAACACAUUUCAAGUCAUGAAAGAGAAAGCUCAAGACUUUAGUUUGGCAGCAAGACAUGGUUGUUUACUUCUGGAUGAAAUGCAAUUAGAAUCAGUUGUAAAAUUUCAACGCGAUAGUUUACAGUUUCAUGGUUUUGUUGACCUUGGUGCCCAAACUUCAAACAAAGAUUUAACAAAAAGAGGUGAUCAUGCACUUGUACUGAUGUAUCAACCAUUCCG